This 467-nucleotide ribosomal RNA is filed under the name uncultured bacterium. RNAcentral's name for it is "partial 16S ribosomal RNA". It matches the Rfam family "Bacterial small subunit ribosomal RNA", at positions 28 to 507 of the family's 1533-position model. The record is from RNAcentral.
GAUGAACGCUGGCGGCGCGCCUAACACAUGCAAGUCGAACGAUUAAAGCACCUUCGGGUGUGUAUAAAGUGGCGAACGGCUGAGUAACACGUGGGCAACCUGCCCCUUUCAUUGGGAUAGCCACGGGAAACCGUGGAUAAUACCGAAUACUUCGAGACUUCCGCAUGGAAGACUCGAGAAAGCUCCGGCGGAGAGGGAUGGGCCCGCGGCCUGUUAGCUUGUUGGUGGGGUAACGGCCUACCAAGGCAAUGAUGGGUAGCUGGGUUGAGAGACCGACCAGCCAGAUUGGGACUGAGACACGGCCCAGACUCCUACGGGAGGCAGCAGUGGGGAAUCUUGCACAAUGGGCGAAAGCCUGAUGCAGCGACGCCGCGUGCGGGAUGAAGGCCUUCGGGUUGUAAACCGUUUUCAGCAGGGACGAGGCGAAAGUGACGGUACCUGCAGAAGAAGCCCCGGCUAACUACGUG